Molecule: ribosomal RNA, 491 nt
Filed under: uncultured bacterium
Lineage: Bacteria
Description: partial 16S ribosomal RNA
Rfam family: Bacterial small subunit ribosomal RNA
Source: RNAcentral
AGUGAACGCUGGCGGUAGGCCUAACACAUGCAAGUCGAACGGCAGCACAGUAAGAGCUUGCUCUUACGGGUGGCGAGUGGCGGACGAGUGAGGAAUACAUCGGAAUCUACUUUUUCGUGGGGGAUAACGUAGGGAAACUUACGCUAAUACCGCAUACGACCUACGGGUGAAAGCAGGGGAUCUUCGGACCUUGCGCGAUUGAAUGAGCCGAUGUCGGAUUAGCUAGUUGGCGGGGUAAGGCCCACCAAGGCGACGAUCCGUAGCUGGUCUGAGAGGAUGAUCAGCCACACUGGAACUGAGACACGGUCCAGACUCCUACGGGAGGCAGCAGUGGGGAAUAUUGGACAAUGGGCGCAAGCCUGAUCCAGCCAUACCGCGUGGGUGAAGAAGGCCUUCGGGUUGUAAAGCCCUUUUGUUGGGAAAGAAAAGCAGCAGGUUAAUACCCCGCUGUUCUGACGGUACCCAAAGAAUAAGCACCGGCUAACUUCGUG